RNAcentral lists this ribosomal RNA (486 nucleotides) under uncultured bacterium. RNAcentral describes it as "partial 16S ribosomal RNA". It matches the Rfam family "Bacterial small subunit ribosomal RNA", at positions 28 to 507 of the family's 1533-position model. The record is from RNAcentral.
GAUGAACGCUGGCGGCGUGCCUAAUACAUGCAAGUCGAACGCUGGAAAUCUAGCUUGCUAGAUUGAAGGAGUGGCGAACGGGUGAGUAAUACAUAAGCAACCUACCCACGAAGACUGGGAUAAUCUCUGGAAACGGGGACUAAUACCGGAUAGGUAAUCGGAAGGCAUCUUCUGAUUAUUAAAGGUUAAAAACACUGGUGGAUGGGCUUAUGGCGCAUUAGUUAGUUGGUGAGGUAACGGCCCACCAAGACGAUGAUGCGUAGCCGGCCUGAGAGGGUGAACGGCCACAUUGGGACUGAGACACGGCCCAGACUCCUACGGGAGGCAGCAGUAGGGAAGGUUCGGCAAUGGGGGAAACCCUGACCGAGCAACGCCGCGUGAGUGAGGACGGCCUUCGGGUUGUAAAGCUCUGUUGUAAGGGAAGAACGGUAGAUAGAGAAUAUCUAAAUGACGGUACCUGACCAGAAAGCCACGGCUAACUACGUG